GACGAACGCUGGCGGCGUGCUUAACACAUGCAAGUCGAACGGAAAGGCCCUUCUUUUGUGGGGUUCUCGAGUGGCGAACGGGUGAGUAACACAUGAGUAACCUUCCCUUGACGUUGGGAUAACUUCAGGAAACUGGGGCUAAUACCGGAUAGGAGCUCCUGCUGCAUGGUGGGGGUUGGAAAGUUUCGGCGGUUGGGGAUGGACUCGCGGCUUAUCAGCUUGUUGGUGGGGUAGUGGCUUACCAAGGCUGUGACGGGUAGCCGGCAUGAGAGGGUGACCGGCCACAUUGGGACUGAGAGAGGGACCAGAGUCCUACGGGAGGCAGCAGUGGGGAAUAUUGCACAACGGGCGGAAGCCUGAUGAAGCAACGCCGCGUGCGGGAUGAAGGCCUUCGGGGUGUAAACCGCUUUCGCCUGUGACGAAGCGUGAGUGACGGUAACGGGUAAAGAAGCACCGGCUAACUACGUG
Molecule: ribosomal RNA, 468 nt
Filed under: uncultured bacterium
Lineage: Bacteria
Description: partial 16S ribosomal RNA
Rfam family: Bacterial small subunit ribosomal RNA
Source: RNAcentral